CAUGGAAACUGAUACUGUGGCUAUAGUUGGCCCUCAGUCCUCCGUGACAGCCCAUGUAGUAUCCUUUAUUGCCGCUGAGCUUCAAGUGCCUCUAUUAUCAUAUUCUGCUACGGACCCAACUCUUUCUUCACUUCAGUUCCCAUUCUUUGUUAGGACAUCUCUGAAUGACCUGUUUCAAAUGACUGCUGUAGCUGAACUUGUUCAUUAUUAUGGAUGGAGAGACGUGAUAGCCAUCUAUGGGGAUGAUGACUAUGGGAGAAAUGGGAUAGCUGCACUAGGUGAUAAGCUUGCAGAGAAACGGUGUCAAAUCUCAUACAAUGUGCCUUUGAGCCCAGAAGCAACCAGGGAUGAGAUCACUGAUGCACUAGUUGAAGUGGCUCUAACUGAGUCCAGGAUUCUAGUUGUUCAUACUUUGGCCACUUGGGCUCCAUUUGUGUUUAGUGUGGCUCAAUAUCUAGGCAUGAUGGGAACUGGAUAUGUAUGGAUAGCUACUAAUUGGCUUUCCACUCUGUUGGACACUAGUUCUCCUCUCCCUGAAGACACAGUUCAUAAUAUUCAAGGAGUUAUUACAUUGAGAAUGUACACACCAAAUUCAGAACCCAAAAGAAAAUUUGUUUCUAGGUGGAGCAACUUGACUAGUGGAAUAAAAGCUAAUGGCCCUACUGGGCUGAGUACUUAUGGUCUAUAUGCCUAUGAUACAGUAUGGCUACUUGCGCGUGCAAUUGAUGCAUUUUUUGAUCAGGAGGGAAAUAUUUCCUUUUCCAAUGAUUCAAGGCUAAUUGAGCUAAAUGGUGGGGAUUUGCAUCUUGAUGCCUUGAGCAUCUUUAAUGGAGGUAGAAUGUUGCUUAAAAACAUUUUGCAGGUUAAUAUGACAGGUGUAACAGGUCAAAUCAAGUUCAAUGCUGAUGGGAACCUCAUUCAACCUGCAUAUGAAAUAAUCAAUGUUGUUGGCACGGGGUAUAGGAAGAUUGGUUAUUGGUCUAAUUACUCUGGUUUAUCAGUUGUGCCUCCUGAAACACUUUACUCAAUGCCUCCUAAUCAGUCCAGUUCAAGUCAGAAAUUAUACCCUGUCAUUUGGCCAGGACAAGCAACACAGAAGCCUCGUGGGUGGGUGUUUCCAAACAACGGAAGACAUUUGAGAAUUGGAAUCCCAAAUCGUGCUGUCUACCCUGAAUUUGUUUCCCAAGUGCCAGGCACUGAAGUGUUUUCUGGGUACUGCAUUGAUGUUUUUACUGCUGCUGCCAACUUGUUGCCAUAUGCUGUCCCUUAUAAAUUAGAACCAUUUGGGGAGGGAAUAACAAAUCCAAGUGGCACUGAACUUGUUCGCAUGAUCACAGCUGGUGUCUAUGAUGCAGCAGUAGGUGACAUUGCAAUCACUACUAACCGAACUAGGAUGGCAGACUUUACGCAACCCUAUAUUGAGUCUGGGUUAGUAGUAGUGGUUCCAGUUAAGAAGGUGAAUUCUGAUGCUUGGGCCUUUUUGAGGCCAUUUACUCGCAAGAUGUGGGUUGUCACUGCUUGCUUUUUCAUAAUUGUGGGUAUAGUUGUUUGGAUUUUGGAGCAUAGGUUGAACGAUGAUUUUAGAGGCCCUCCCAGAAGACAAUGCAUCACUGUUUUAUGGUGAGUGACUAAGAAACAUCUCAGAAAUUUUUUGGUAGAAAAACACAAAUGCUCUAGUCCCAAGAGCAAAAUCUUGCAGAUUAUUUCAAGAAUGGUUCUUUUUGAAUUUCUGUUUACUGCUGUCAAAGCAUGUCUAUUGCUUGAGCUCAUUACAUAAAGCACUGGAUCAUUUUGCCUGAGUUCCCCAAUCUUACAAUCGUGUUUCCCUUCUGCAGGUUUAGCUUUUCAACAUGGUUCUUUGCUCAUAGAGAAAAUACUGUUAGCACCCUUGGUCGCUUUGUCCUACUUAUAUGGCUGUUUGUGGUGCUUAUAAUUAACUCAAGCUACACUGCAAGCCUAACCUCGAUCCUUACAGUGCAGCAGCUUUAUUCUCCCAUUACAGGCAUUGAAUACUUAAGGUCAAUAAGGGACCCUAUAGGCUACCAGCAGGGUUCAUUUGCCCGUGAAUAUCUAAUUGAUGAAUUGGGCAUUGAUGAGUCCAGACUGGUUCCGCUUAUCACCCCAGAAGAAUAUUCUAAAGCCUUGAAAGAUGGUCCCCAUAAAGGUGGAGUUGCUGCAGUGGUUGAUGAGCGUCCAUAUGUAGAGCUCUUCCUCUCAACCAGAUGUGAGUUCAGUAUUGUAGGUCAAGAGUUCACCAAGAAUGGAUGGGGCUUUGCUUUUCCAAGGGACUCACCUUUAGCAGUUGACAUAUCGACUGCCAUUUUGCAACUGUCAGAAAAUGGGGAUCUCCAGAGGAUUCACGACAAAUGGCUUAUGAGAAGUGCUUGUAGUUCAGCAGGCACAAAGUUUGAAGUAGAUCGGCUUCAACUCAGAAGCUUCUGGGGUCUCUUUAUGAUAUGCGGAUUAGCUUGUUUCCUUGCUCUCCUUUUACAUUUCUUGAAAAUGAUGCGGCAGUUCAGCAGGCACCACUCUGAGGAGUUGGCAUCUUCUGGUCAAAGCUCAAGGUCUGCACGUCUCCAGACAUUCCUUACAUUUGUUGAUGAAAAGGAAGAGGAAGUGAAACACCGCUCCAAGAGACGACAACUGGAAGGGGUGUCUAACAGAAGUCAAGAAAAAUCUGUGUACAGUUCCAGUUCCAAGAGAAUACGUGUUGACUCACCUUCAGACACAGGUCUUGGUGCUGGUAGUGAAGCAUGAUAUUCAUCUUGGACCAACAGUUUCCUAUAGGAUUAGAAUAACUCUUCUCAGUUGGUUCUCAGCAAGUUCCAAAGAGGCCUUCUGGUAUACACAAGUGAAAAUAGAUAACAUUUGGCAGCAGUUUUUGGUUCUUAAUUAUAACAGCAAUGCAAUAGAUAGCUGGACCUUUUCGGUUUUUAGUCAUAUUUUCCAGGACGCUGGAAAACACGUCCUUGGAAACCUUUGCUUUGCAUUCUAAAAGAGGGGGAAAAAACACUAUAUAUGUACUAAAUUCGUUUCUCCUGUCUCAAGUAAAGGAGUAUGUUAGUUACUACUAACUCUGUUUUCAAUGACUUUUCCCCUUUCAUCUGCAAAUGACGAAGGAUUAAUUAUAUUUUUUGUUCUUGAGAUGC
This 3149-nucleotide unclassified non-coding RNA is filed under the name Hevea brasiliensis (rubber tree). The record is from RNAcentral. Lineage: Eukaryota; Viridiplantae; Streptophyta; Magnoliopsida; Malpighiales; Euphorbiaceae.